ACUUCUCCUGUGGAAGUUUUGUAACUGGGAUGUCUGGGAAUGAUACAAAUGUUGAGGAAAUCCUUUAAACGUGUGCAUCACUUGCAGCUGCACAUUGUCCUGCAAAAAGUUCCAAAGAUUUGCUGGGGACAGUAACUGAAAUUCAUAUUUUUUUAAUUGGAUUUGUCUUUGGAAAGACCUUUCUGACUUUGAUAGACUUAUACUCAAAAUUGCAUGAAGUGAUUUUAUUCUUAUCAUAAACAACACCUGCAACACUUUUUGCUACGAAUCUGCUGCUGCAACACGGACAUUGUCCUGUACCACAGCUUUAAGUGAUGUGUGUGCCUUUUGGAGAUGCUGUGUUAUAUGCAGGGGAUGUUGUUCCUUGUUUGUGCUGAAUGAGCUUGGAUCACAUCCAUUUGAUUCUUUUCAUUGAGCAGCAGCCAGAGAGGGAAAGGAGGUACUGUUUUUCUGUUCCUGCUUUUUGUGUAUAUUCCAGACAAGAAAAUAUCUGCCAAGACUCUGACAGUGGGCUUUCUGCCCUGCAAAGGAGAGUGAAACUUCCAGCAAGAGAAUAAUUUUUAUGGGUUUGUGUGUUUACACAGUUAUUUGCAGUAAAAUCCUGGAUCCUUUUGGAAAUCCUUCUCUCUGACAACAGCAUAUAGUGUUAUGAGACAGGCAAACAGUUCUCUCUGGACAGGAAAACUAGCAGGUGCUGGACCUCAGACCAAUGUUCACAGAUACCAGAUACAUCAGGGAAAACCUUCUUGUGAUACACUUGUGAACAAGACCAACAUGAUUGUGUGAUCCACAGGAGGGCUGAUGAAGAUAUUCUCAAUAAAUUACUAAGUCUAAGAAUCAGCAGCUUAAUAAUGAAAAUCUACAGACUAUGGAAAUGUAGGCUAGUUUACAUAAUAAAAUAAAUCAGAAGCUCAAGAGCCUAUAAAGUUUGUUCUAAUUUAUUGAGAGUAAUAAAAGGAAAAAAAAAUGAACUAAUAAACUAAACAUAUGAUGA
This is a long non-coding RNA of Cygnus olor (mute swan), 994 nucleotides long. RefSeq lists it as uncharacterized. The transcript has 4 exons. The record is from RefSeq and is a predicted model, not a curated record. Lineage: Eukaryota; Metazoa; Chordata; Aves; Anseriformes; Anatidae.